AACAAACGCUGGCGGCGUGCCUAAUACAUGCAAGUCGCACGAGGUAGCAAUACCUAGUGGCGCACGGGUGAGUAACGCGUGGAUAAUCUGCCUUUGAGUGGGGGAUAACUAGUUGAAAGAUUAGCUAAUACUGCAUAAGACAACAGGAACUGAGGUUCUAGGGGUCAAAGGUUUUUCGCUCAUAGAUGAGUCCGCGUGAGAUUAGCUAGUUGGUGAGGUAACGGCUCACCAAGGCGACGAUCUCUAACUGGUCUGAGAGGAUGAUCAGUCACACUGGAACUGAGACACGGUCCGUGCGCCUACGGGAGGCAGCAGUAGGGAAUAUUGCACAAUGGAGGAAACUCUGAUGCAGCGACGCCGCGUGAGUGAUGAAGGCUUUCGGGUCGUAAAGCUCUGUCGCAGGGGAAUAACACAAUGAAUGUACCCUGUAAGAAAGGAUCGGCUAACUUCGUGCCAGCAGCCGCAGUAA
This 469-nucleotide ribosomal RNA is filed under the name uncultured bacterium. Its description in RNAcentral is "partial 16S ribosomal RNA". It matches the Rfam family "Bacterial small subunit ribosomal RNA", at positions 29 to 523 of the family's 1533-position model. The record is from RNAcentral.